Molecule: ribosomal RNA, 118 nt
Filed under: uncultured eukaryote
Lineage: Eukaryota
Description: partial small subunit ribosomal RNA
Source: RNAcentral
UAUCAUCUGCGCAAGUACGAAAUCGAUGACCCCGCAGCCGGCAACGGCGUGGGUGUCUUCACCAAUCCCGAGCUGCAGGAGCUCUACACCGAUCUGGUCCUGCUGGGCAAAAUUUCGG